CUGACGCAGCACCCCCGCGUGAAGGAAGAAGGUUUUCGGAUCGUAAACUUUCUUUGAUUGGGGACGAAGUAAGUGACGGUACCCAAGGAACAAGCCACGGCUAACUACGUGCCAGCAGCCGCGGUAAUACGUAGGUGGCGAGCGUUGUCCGGAAUUACUGGGUGUAAAGGGCGUGCAGGCGGGGAUAUAAGUCAGGUGUGAAAUACCACGGCUCAACUGUGGGGGUGCAUCUGAAACUAUAUUUCUUGAGUACUGGAGAGGGAAGCGGAAUUCCUAGUGUAGCGGUGAAAUGCGUAGA
This 298-nucleotide ribosomal RNA is filed under the name uncultured Oscillospiraceae bacterium. RNAcentral describes it as "partial 16S ribosomal RNA". It matches the Rfam family "Bacterial small subunit ribosomal RNA", at positions 383 to 694 of the family's 1533-position model. The record is from RNAcentral. Lineage: Bacteria; Bacillati; Bacillota; Clostridia; Eubacteriales; Oscillospiraceae.